UUCGGUACGAUGUUGACAUCUGGAUACGCCAUUAGUUUGUAUGAGGGAACCUAUUCUCUAUCAGAUUAGUCGGCCCGAAGGCAGUUUUAAAUUGGUAGAAUUUGUAUGAAAAUUGUUUCUUGGCUUUAUUUAUCUACUUGAAGUACGUUUUCCUGACCUUAGUUUAAAUUAUUUUCUAUAAAUUUUCAGAUAUUCUCACAAAAACUUACCUUUAUAAUAUAAAAUUAUCUUUAGGCAUAAUUUUUGUAUGACAUUUUUCAUCACUUGCAUGCAAUAGUGAUUUUCAUUUACAUUGAGUACUAAUUUCAUUUGAGAAAAAUAAUGUUCAUUCAUAAUUUUUAUUUUAAAAGUGUGUUUAUUCCUUUUGAAAAUCCAUACUGUCAUGCCUAUUCCCCAAAUACGUAACAUCGAAAAUUCGUUGGUCGAAAAUACAGAAUGAUUAAUAAAACGAAUCGGCAUCACGUUUUCUUCAACGAUGAACUGUCAUCUCACACCAAAACAACCGGAUCAUAUAACUGGUGAGUAUGGAAUCUUUUUCUGUUUUUCAUUUUAAUUUUUUUUUCAGACCCAUCUCAACAGAUUUUCCUCUAGUGGAGUUUGUGGAAUAGAUAGGUUUUUACUUUAUGAAUCUGGAACGAACGGAUUGCUACCGGCGGCAUUCCUGAACGCAAUUGGGUAAAACACGGAAUCUAAACUAGUUCAUAUGCAUCCGGACAACGUUGCCCAGAAGCAGGCACAACAAGCAAUGAAUUUCGAUACGGAACAACUGAGCAGAUGCAUAUCAGUGAAAGUUUAUUCCGUUCUGAGACAUUUCUACCAACGAAGUAAGGACACGACCGGUAUUGAAUUGAAUGAUGCUAAGCCAGAUCAACAGUGUGGGGAGACUGACGGUGUAGAUUCGCCACAGGUGGAAAUUAAUCACAAACGCAAGAUGUGACAUUAUCAGAUUCUCCCAAAGUGGUUUCCUACCAGCUAUGAAUACACCCGUUCGGAUGAUGUGACUUUUUUGCUUCCAUCAACUGCAGUCAACAGCAUCGGCUUUCCCGUAGCAGUAUCCUCCAAGCCAUGGUGGCUGUUCCAGGGGACAACAUCAACAACAGCAGCAUCUGGACCUGACCAUCGAUAGUGUUUCGAGCAACUUUCCAUAUCGGAGAUCUCGUGCUUCGCGCACAUUGAAGAACCCUCCUCAGCCACAUAUGUGUGUCAAGGAGAAAAAGGAGCUGGAUUCGAAUCGUCAAUCCAGACAACCCGAAUGCACCGAUUGCAUUAUAUAUCUUGUUUAUAUUUUAUAUGCAUUUUGUGUUUUUUUGAAUAAAAUGAUUAAAAUCGAUCAAUGUUUUUCCUUUUCAUGUUUCAUAACAAACCAAUACAAACAA
Molecule: long non-coding RNA, 1376 nt
Organism: Toxorhynchites rutilus septentrionalis
Lineage: Eukaryota; Metazoa; Arthropoda; Insecta; Diptera; Culicidae
Exons: 3
Source: RefSeq, a predicted model, not a curated record